GAUGAACGCUGGCGGCGUGCUUAACACAUGCAAGUCGAACGGAAAGGCUCCUGCUUGCAGGGGUACUCGAGUGGCGAACGGGUGAGUAACACGUGGGUGAUCUGCCCUGCACUUCGGGAUAAGCCUGGGAAACUGGGUCUAAUACCGGAUAGGACGAUGGUUUGGAUGCCAUUGUGGAAAGUUUUUCGGUGUGGGAUGAGCUCGCGGCCUAUCAGCUUGUUGGUGGGGUAAUGGCCUACCAAGGCGUCGACGGGUAGCCGGCCUGAGAGGGUGUACGGCCACAUUGGGACUGAGAGACGGCCCAGACUCCUACGGGAGGCAGCAGUGGGGAAUAUUGCACAAUGGGCGCAAGCCGGAUGCAGCGACGCCGCGUGGGGGAUGACGGCCUUCGGGUUGUAAACUCCUUUCGCUAGGGACGAAGCGUUUUGUGACGGUACCUGGAGAAGAAGCACCGGCUAACUACGUG
This 466-nucleotide ribosomal RNA is filed under the name uncultured bacterium. Its description in RNAcentral is "partial 16S ribosomal RNA". It matches the Rfam family "Bacterial small subunit ribosomal RNA", at positions 28 to 507 of the family's 1533-position model. The record is from RNAcentral.